RNAcentral lists this transfer RNA (77 nucleotides) under Roseateles saccharophilus. RNAcentral's name for it is "tRNA-Pro(ggg)". It matches the Rfam family "tRNA". Rfam says of the family: Transfer RNA (tRNA) molecules are approximately 80 nucleotides in length. Their secondary structure includes four short double-helical elements and three loops (D, anti-codon, and T loops). Further hydrogen bonds mediate the characteristic L-shaped molecular structure. tRNAs have two regions of fundamental functional importance: the anti-codon, which is responsible for specific mRNA codon recognition, and the 3' end, to which the tRNAs corresponding amino acid is attached (by aminoacyl-tRNA synthetases). tRNAs cope with the degeneracy of the genetic code in two manners: having more than one tRNA (with a specific anti-codon) for a particular amino acid; and 'wobble' base-pairing, i.e. permitting non-standard base-pairing at the 3rd anti-codon position. Lineage: Bacteria; Pseudomonadati; Pseudomonadota; Betaproteobacteria; Burkholderiales; Sphaerotilaceae. The record is from RNAcentral. RNAcentral also lists the same sequence under 425 other names.
CGGGGCGUAGCGCAGCCUGGUAGCGCACUUGCAUGGGGUGCAAGGGGUCGCGAGUUCGAAUCCCGCCGUCCCGACCA